UACGUAGGCAGCAAGCGUUGUUCGGAGUUACUGGGCGUAAAGGGUGCGUAGGCGGCGCGGUAAGUCGGGUGUGAAAUCUUGGAGCUUAACUCCGAAACUGCAUUCGAUACUGCCGUGCUUGAGGACUGGAGAGGAGACUGGAAUUUACGGUGUAGCGGUGAAAUGCGUAGAUAUCAGGAGGAACACCGGUGGCGAAGGCAGAUCUCUGGGCCGUAACUGACGCUGAGGAGCGAAAGCAUGGGGAGCGAACAGG
RNAcentral lists this ribosomal RNA (253 nucleotides) under uncultured bacterium. Its description in RNAcentral is "partial 16S ribosomal RNA". It matches the Rfam family "Bacterial small subunit ribosomal RNA", at positions 524 to 776 of the family's 1533-position model. The record is from RNAcentral.